Molecule: ribosomal RNA, 629 nt
Filed under: uncultured Actinomycetes bacterium
Lineage: Bacteria; Bacillati; Actinomycetota; Actinomycetes
Description: bacterial SSU rRNA
Rfam family: Bacterial small subunit ribosomal RNA
Source: RNAcentral
UCCUACGGGAGGCAGCAGUGGGGAAUAUUGCGCAAUGGGCGGAAGCCUGACGCAGCGACGCCGCGUGGGGGAUGACGGCCUUCGGGUUGUAAACCUCUUUCAGCAGGGACGAAGCCGUGAGGUGACGGUACCUGCAGAAGAAGCACCGGCCAACUACGUGCCAGCAGCCGCGGUAAUACGUAGGGUGCAAGCGUUGUCCGGAAUUAUUGGGCGUAAAGAGCUCGUAGGCGGUUUGUUGCGUCGGCUGUGAAAUCCCGAGGCUCAACCUCGGGUCUGCAGUCGAUACGAGCAAACUAGAGUGUUGCAGGGGAGACUGGAAUUCCUGGUGUAGCGGUGAAAUGCGCAGAUAUCAGGAGGAACACCGGUGGCGAAGGCGGGUCUCUGGGCAACAACUGACGCUGAGGAGCGAAAGCGUGGGGAGCGAACAGGAUUAGAUACCCUGGUAGUCCACGCCGUAAACGUUGGGCGCUAGGUGUGGGGCUCAUUCCACGAGUUCCGUGCCGCAGCUAACGCAUUAAGCGCCCCGCCUGGGGAGUACGGCCGCAAGGCUAAAACUCAAAGGAAUUGACGGGGGCCCGCACAAGCGGCGGAGCAUGUUGCUUAAUUCGAUGCAACGCGAAGAACCUUAC